This 347-nucleotide ribosomal RNA is filed under the name Enterococcus durans. RNAcentral describes it as "bacterial SSU rRNA". It matches the Rfam family "Bacterial small subunit ribosomal RNA", at positions 1 to 329 of the family's 1533-position model. Lineage: Bacteria; Bacillati; Bacillota; Bacilli; Lactobacillales; Enterococcaceae. The record is from RNAcentral.
UAUGAGAGUUUGAUCCUGGCUCAGGACGAACGCUGGCGGCGUGCCUAAUACAUGCAAGUCGUACGCUUCUUUUUCCACCGGAGCUUGCUCCACCGGGAAAAGAAGAGUGGCGAACGGGUGAGUAACACGUGGGUAACCUGCCCAUCAGAAGGGGAUAACACUUGGAAACAGGUGCUAAUACCGUAUAACAAUCGAAACCGCAUGGUUUUGAUUUGAAAGGCGCUUUCGGGUGUCGCUGAUGGAUGGACCCGCGGUGCAUUAGCUAGUUGGUGAGGUAACGGCUCACCAAGGCCACGAUGCAUAGCCGACCUGAGAGGGUGAUCGGCCACAUUGGGACUGAGACACGG